Molecule: ribosomal RNA, 709 nt
Filed under: Fusarium oxysporum
Lineage: Eukaryota; Fungi; Ascomycota; Sordariomycetes; Hypocreales; Nectriaceae
Description: SSU rRNA
Rfam family: Bacterial small subunit ribosomal RNA
Source: RNAcentral
GAAUAUUGGUCAAUGGCCUAACGGCUGAACUGGCAACUUGGAGAAGUGGCAAGUCUUCCAGUAUGGGGAGCAAAACAGCUAUGGGUCAAGUCCGAUAUCUUUAGGAGAAGUCUUAUUGUGAGGGCGAGUUAUAUAACACCAUAGGACUGGCCGUCCCAUAUGAAAAGAUUAUAUUAGAAUUGAAUGAAGCUUUGUUUAUAUAUUGAUAAUGACAGUAUAUAUAUCGUGUCUUGACUAAUUGCGUGCCAGCAGUCGCGGUAAUACGUAAGAGACUAGUGUUAUUCAUCUUAAUUAGGUUUAAAGGGUACCCAGACGGUCAAUAUAGCUUAUAAAAUGUUAGUACUUGACUAGAGUUUUAUGUAAGAGGGCAGUACUUGAGGAGGAGAGAUGAAAUUUCGUGAUACCAAAGGGACUCUGUAAAGGCGAAGGCAGCCCUCUAUGUAAAAACUGACGUUGAAGGACGAAGGCACAGAGAACAAACAGGAUUAGAUACCCAAGUAGUCUUUGCAGUAAAUGAUGAAUGCCAUAGGUUAGAUUGGUCAAUUAUAGUCUAGGGUUAGUCUAGCAAACUAAUACCCUAUGCUAUAAUCCUAAUAUCUGGUCUAUAAAUGAAAGUGUAAGCAUUUCACCUCAAGAGUAAUGUGGCAACGCAGGAACUGAAAUCACUAGACCGUUUCUGACACCAGUAGUGAAGUAUGUUAUUUAAUUC